This 205-nucleotide unclassified non-coding RNA is filed under the name soil metagenome. Its description in RNAcentral is "partial internal transcribed spacer 1". The record is from RNAcentral.
ACGAGUUAGGGUCUCUCAGGCCCGACCUCCCAACCCUCUGUUUACUAGACCUCUGUUGCUUCGGCGGACCCGUCUCAAGCGGACCGCCGGAGGACCGCCCACCGCGGCGUGCGUCCUCUGGCCAGUGUCCGCCGAUAGCCUCUUCAAACUCUGGAAACAAUCAUGAUUUUAGUGUCUAAGUGAUUUUAUUCAAUAUUAAAAGCAA